AAUAGAUACCCAGGUAGUCCACGCCGUAAACGAUGAGUGCUAAGUGUUGGGGGGUUUCCGCCCCUCAGUGCUGCAGCUAACGCAUUAAGCACUCCGCCUGGGGAGUACGGCCGCAAGGCUGAAACUCAAAGGAAUUGACGGGGGCCCGCACAAGCGGUGGAGCAUGUGGUUUAAUUCGAAGCAACGCGAAGAACCUUACCAGGUCUUGACAUCCCGCUGCCCGGUAUAGAGAUAUAUCUUUCCCUUCGGGGACAGCGGUGACAGGUGGUGCAUGGUUGUCGUCAGCUCGUGUCGUGAGAUGUUGGGUUAAGUCCCGCAACGAGCGCAACCCUUGAUCUUAGUUGCCAGCAUUUAGUUGGGCACUCUAAGGUGACUGCCGGUGACAAACCGGAGGAAGGUGGGGAUGACGUCAAAUCAUCAUGCCCCUUAUGACCUGGGCUACACACGUGCUACAAUGGAUGGUACAAAGGGCUGCAAGACCGCGAGGUUUAGCCAAUCCCAUAAAACCAUUCUCAGUUCGGAUUGCAGG
This 529-nucleotide ribosomal RNA is filed under the name uncultured bacterium. Its description in RNAcentral is "bacterial SSU rRNA". It matches the Rfam family "Bacterial small subunit ribosomal RNA", at positions 777 to 1304 of the family's 1533-position model. The record is from RNAcentral.